This is a long non-coding RNA of Solanum tuberosum (potato), 2692 nucleotides long. RefSeq lists it as uncharacterized. NCBI's taxonomy places the organism in Eukaryota, Viridiplantae, Streptophyta, Magnoliopsida, Solanales, Solanaceae. The record is from RefSeq and is a predicted model, not a curated record. The transcript is spliced from 2 exons.
UAAUUUUCAAGUGAAAUUUAUUUUCAUGUGUCCUUUUUUCAAAAAAAAAAUGAGCCUUUUAAAUGUGUCCUGAUAAUUUCUGAGAUGUCUUUUUUUUUUUCCGCUAAAGUUUAACUGCUUUUGUUCUGUGGUAAGAACUUCCGCGUAAAACCUCUCUGAACUAAAGGAAAAUUAUUCAAGUGUCCUUUGUAGAAUGACUUGAUGAAGUUAAAACUCUAAUACUUCGAACGAGUAUUUCAUUUUCAAAUUUGAAAUUACCUUUUAUGAGUUGAACAAGAAUUCUUUUUCAUUGAUUUUGAAGUGCCAGUGGUGGAAGUUACUACCCUCACCUGUUUAUGAACUUGUAUAAUACAUUGUGGUGGUUGUUACCUGCGUAUGUUAUUCCAGAAUAAUGAAGGCUUACAAAUGGUACUUUUGAUUAGUAAAAUGCUUUUUAACAAGUACAAGUGUACAACUAACAAGUUAAAUUGCAAGUAUCUGUGGCAUAAGUUAUUUGGAUUGUUUGACGAAACUAUUGUUGCUCCAUCUUCAAUUGGUGAAUCUUUUUGGCAGCACAAAAAAUGAGAAGAUCUUAUGUCGAGAGCUUUUGCUGGUGCUUCAUUGUAUGUUUGAUUUGAUCACAAUAAUGAUCCCAGCAACCUCAGCCACGAUUUGGUGAAUCUCAUCUCUGCCUUAGGGACCUUUGGCGGUUGCUGUGAUUUCUCAAGUAUGAUGUCAGUAUUUGGUGAAACAGUAGUCAUCUGAAUUUAUAUUUCUUACUGUCAACCAUAUGCAAGCUGGGAUUGGGCUCCAGCAUCUCUUCUGCCUCACUAUACCUCCCAUGUUGUUCCAACACUUCAUCAGGUCUCUUUUGGAUUUCGGCAUAGCCCACUUAACUCCUGUGACUGCACAGUGAAUAAAAAAAUGAUUGAGGGUAUCAGAUUCCUUCCCACAAAAAAAACAUCUGGAAUAUAAGUCAGACAUGCCUCUGUAGCAACCAACAUGUGCUUUGUAUGGUAUUUUAACCUUACCGAUAUGUUCCCAAGGCCAUAUGCAUUGAUUUCCAGAAGCAUUAAAAUUGUAUAAGCAGAAUUAAUUGAGAAUAGGCCUUUACUAGCUUCCAACUUGAUCUCUUUUUUUCUUUUUUUUUAAAUCUCCCAAUCAACUUUUUGACAUUCUACCCUAAAAUCAAGCGCUUCCCAUUGGAACUUAACCUAAAAGUAUCACUUCUAGACUCAAACACCCAAGUAUAAGAUAGUGAUAAGUUGGUAAAAAAUCCCAACUUAUCUAUGGUCCAGGUAAUUUUCUGCUGGCCGAUAUUGUGGAAUGUCACAUGACUGCUAUUGUAACUUAGCUUCCACCCCCGUCCUCUUAAGCUCUUUGCACAAAGAUGCUGUAAAACUUCCAUACUUGAUGUCAGAUGAUGUAAAAUUUUGCAUCUUUAAGUAUCAACACUCAACUUUACUUUUUGUUUUCUACUUUCUAACUUAGUUUUCUUUUUUCAGUUUUUUGUUUUGUUUCUUGAGAUCAGUUUAAUAGAUAUAUAGACCGAUAUACUUGAUGCCAACCUAUUCUCUUCUAAUUUUGACUAUAAAUAAGAUGUACAUGUGGAGUAUGAAAAAGCGAUUGUUGUUUAUAAAUAACUUCAUAAUAUUUCUUGGUCUUCACAAGAAAAAGUAGAAUACUUCUCCAAAAAUAUCAAUUAAGGGAAUGAUCCUGAAAUAUAAUUAUACAGUACCUCUUAGCUCUUUUGUGGUGAACUAUUUAGAAUUGAUUCACAAGAAUUUAUAUAUGUUUGUUUCAUAAAAAAAGAAGGAACUAUAUAAUUGUUAACCCGUUUUCUUUUCUGGUUCAUUACUGAUGCUUGUCUUAAUUAAACUACUUUCUAGUCAAGUCGCAUGAAGAAUUGCAAAAAUGAUCAAUCAAGCUACUUGAAUGUGGAUCACAGGUACUAGUUCCUGUUAAAGUGGUAUAAACUUUAAAGUACAAAAGAACAUGUCACUUUAACACCUAAAACUGGAAAGCAUCACACCUUAGCACAUAAAUGAUGUUGCUAUUCAACUAGAUGUGAUACACUGUUAAUAGAUUGCCUCAUCUUUCCAUCUGUUCAAGCCUUGGGGACGUGUAUCUGUGUGGGUGGAAGGUAGUAGGUACCCCGUGGAAUUAGUCAAGGUACGUGCAAGCUGAAGAUAUACUUGGCACUCUGAUUUUAUUAUUGCGUGACAACGAGCUUUUUAAUAAGUUACAGUUUGCUCGCCAAUUACCUUGAGUUAUGAUGAACUUGAAGGCCAUUAUUUUGUCCACAAUGUGGCAAAGAAUCUGUUCUUUUUUUACUCACUUCUCAUUUCCUGAUAAGCUGUUCUAUGCUCCUUAGAUCGGCACAUCAGCUAUAUGCUUUCUGCUGAAUAAUCAAGAUUUUAUUAAGCUAGUCCAAGUUGGAAAGCUUGAAGAAGCUGUAUUAUAUGGCAGGACUUAAAUUGAAAACUUCUACAGGUUGUGGGAGACUAUGAUGACUUGGUCAAGCUACUGGAGGAAAUUCUGUCAAACCAUUUCGUAGCGGUGUUAACUGAUUUGCGUUGUAUUAGUAUGAGCAGCUAUUGAAUUCUUUCCUCAUUUGGGCAUGGGAAUUGGACUUGUAAUGUAGAAAUCGAGGAAGCAUGCUGAAUGGCAAGGAAAGGAAUUGCAAGUUUUGAAGUGGUUUGGCUUUUAUCUU